RNAcentral lists this ribosomal RNA (253 nucleotides) under uncultured prokaryote. RNAcentral's name for it is "partial 16S ribosomal RNA". It matches the Rfam family "Bacterial small subunit ribosomal RNA", at positions 525 to 777 of the family's 1533-position model. The record is from RNAcentral.
ACGUAGGGUGCAAGCGUUAAUCGGAAUUACUGGGCGUAAAGCGUGCGCAGGCGGUUUUGUAAGACAGAGGUGAAAUCCCCGGGCUCAACCUGGGAACUGCCUUUGUGACUGCAAGGCUGGAGUGCGGCAGAGGGGGAUGGAAUUCCGCGUGUAGCAGUGAAAUGCGUAGAGAUCGGGAGGAACAUCCGUGGCGAAGGCGGCCACCUGGGCCAACACUGACACUGAGGCACGAAAGCGUGGGGAGCAAACAGGA